UUCUCUCACUCACUCGCUCACAACGUGUUUGUUGUACAGACGGAGACAGUACCGUGGAAACCGAGGCUUUGGUAGAGGGAGAGGAGACAAUGUUGCUAGGUUCGAAGCUCCGGACGCUGGUAGCCGCUCCGGUUCCGGCAGCAACGAGUAUCACCGGUUCUUCCGGUUCUGACGGAUUGGGAUGCCCGGACCACCACCUCACCACAAGUUCCUUCCGCAGCUACGCAGACCUUCCCAUCGGUUCCCCUUCCCACAAAUGGUCAAACGGCUGUUCAUACCUCGUUUAGUCCCAUUCUAUGUAUGGCCCUCGUGGGGUCGGAGGAGUCUCAAAUCGCUAAGGGCCGGCAGCCUAUUUUUACGUUGUGACACCUAGCUUUGUCACACGCGGGGCUCGACGGUGGCGCGCAUUAAGGAUCUAGGGAGGCUCCCAUAAGACCAGUAAAGCGUAUGCUGAUAUUUAUUUGCCGCCGAGGGCACGAUUUUGGAUCGGCGGCGGAGGAGAAGGGAGCGAGCGAAAGUGAGGAGGGCGUCGGCGGAGGGAGGCAAGGAGCGAGAGUGACAGCUAGGGCAGAGGGGAUAGGAGGGGCAAGUAGGGAUCGGGCCGCGGCCGCCGCCGCUAGCGGCAAGGUUAGAGGUGCCGGGGAGGAAGAGGUGGCACCGGGCAAUGCAGUAGUCGUUGGAGAGCGGCCAGACCAAGCUCGGCGAGGCGCGGUGGGUCGGGGCUGGGGAAAGAAGGUUCGGCCGCGCCGGUGGCAACUGCCGCUCCUAGUUAUGGCCGGCGUCCUCCUCGUCCUCGCGCCGCCCUUCCUCCUCCUACUAGUCCCCUCCGGCGCGGUGGUAGGUGGCGGCCGACAGCUGUGGAGGACAAGCUGGUGUGUCUCCUUAGUGGCCUGGCAGCAGGAACGCAAGGAAGAGGAGGUCCUUCUUCUGCUGGGUUCCACUCGGUGGAAGCUAGGUAGAGCGCCUCAGUCGCCCCUGAGGUUGGACUCCGAGGUACCGCCGCCGGUCGCUCAAGUAUAGAGGGAGCUGCUCUCCUAUCCGAGGUCCAAACGCAGUGUCCCGCACAUCGAGGUGCCGAAGAAGUCCCGGUCGUAGUUCGACGGGAGACUCUGAUGCGGCGGCCGCAGCAGCAGCGGAAGAUGUGAAACCGCAGGCCAUGUACAGCUUGCUGCUCGACCUGAACUCAAGGAAUGUCUCCACGUACCCUCAUUCGAGCUCGACGUCUGCUCGAGUCUGAGGUAUCCUCCUCGCACAAGACGACGCGGAAAGGGUGGAGGAGCCGCGUGUCCCCCUACCGAUCGAGGCGCGUCGUCAUCCCCCAACUAGUGUUCUAUGAUUUCCUAAAGAGAUAAUCAUCUCCAGACUUCCAAGCUCUUCCCUGCUUUCUACUUCUUAAACGGACGUCUUUUAUAACUUGUUUUUCGAGGUCUACCGAAGGAUCCCCACUACGCGAAGUCUAACUCUAACCCUACAACCGAAAGAGAUUGGACGGAAGGAACUCAGACUUCAACCCAAGUGUUCGUUCGUCCGACAUCUCCUGUACCGUGACCGGCACAAGUUGGCACGGGACUUCGAAAGACCUCAUCCAGACACGGAGACACACACAGAAGAGAUUGAAGUAUAGCGACCUAGAUACCUAGUAAGACGUGCAACCCGAACAACGACCGACGAUCGGACCGAACAUUCUCCUACGAGGGGACGAGACUCAGGUUCUAUGACUCCCUUUCAGAUUGUAUAGGUCUCCGUGGUUAACCCUCUCCAUGUUGUAUACGUAAAGUUUCUCUUGACCUGAGGCGAUAAAGACUGAAGUGGUUCCAACUUUAAAAUUUAAGUCUUAAGUCUUGUAAGGGAAAUGGAAACACAUUUUACUGGAAUACUAGAAUGAGAUUUCCCUACUAGUUAAGUACAACAGAACGUAAAGUCAUCAUUUCGCAAUAUCCAUCCAACAAUCUCGUGUGAGACUUAAGGUGGUUAAAGAAAGGUACCGAAUAUACACUGGUUUACGAGGUCUAACAUAUACUGUAGGAAAACAAAUGUGUUCGAAUUGACAAAGGACACUCCGUCGAUGACUCUCACUACUUAUAUCGUAACGAACCGUCAACACGAAAUCAGUAACCAUACUAUCUUCGUAAUGUAUCACGUAACCACUAUUUUGAUAACAAGAGAGUUUGACCAUUAUAACUAGACAAGAGAACUUACUACAUUUGAAUUGCCUAGAAUACACAAAGCACUAUCAAGUGUUAUAAGAGAAUUAAUUGUAAGACUCAUAUUAUAGAAUUUGUUAAACCAAUCUUCAUUUGACCCUACUUUUGUACACAUCAAUUUAUACUUACGUAUACAAUAAAGCUCAAUUUAAAGUUAGGUGUAUGGCCGACAAUUCUUCAUAAUGUAAUAAAAAUAAAAGAGUUAACAUACCUUCACAAUCAAGAAAGGUCCAGAAACCUUAUUGUUAACAUGUAAAAGAAUAAGUACGAUAAACCUGGUUUAAACAUCUUAGCAAUUUCAGAGUCGAUCCUAAAAUUGGACCAAUGGACCAAGACGGAUUAGAAGAGAAAUAAAACCGAUACCAACAGCCACAUUUGAUCCUUGACCAAUAUACGUGUACAAAAAUUACAAAGUCUGCAUCAUAUAUCGUCUAUCAAACGAGACACGGUGAAAGGAAAAGGUAGAGAAGAAUGUCGGUUAUAUAUACAAAGAACACGGAUACCAACCACUCGAGUCUUUCUGUCGUUUGGUUUCCGUACAAUGUAUUAACACAUGACAAAACCAUUUCAGACGCACACACUUAAACUAAUACUCUCCGUUCUCACGGUACAACGUGCCCGGUUUAUAAAAGGGUGCGCACCAUCAAACAGUUGUAAAAAGGCUUUAGUGCUUACUUAAAAUUUUUGGUCUUAAAUUCUAUUUAUUCAUUUGGAUAUGUUUGUGUUUCUUUCAUUUACUCUUUGUCCUUUUUCUACCUUCUCUUGAAGUACCCGGCCGGGUUUUCAGUGUCGCCGCGAGGUGGUAACUCGGAUGGAAACUCUUCCGGCAACCCGUUCCGAUAAAGCCAGUAGAAGGACAGACUAUGUAUCCAGUUUGGAUCUUCCUAAAUGUGCAAGAGAGAGGCUGUAAAAGGAAACGAGUACGCUUAUGUAGCAGAAGAGCCGCGCCGCCGCGGCGGAACCUAGUCUGGAGACAACGCGGAGAAGCUAAUAGGGAAGCCUUGAGUCGAGGCCGCUGGUCCAGUGAUACCACCUUCUUCUCGAGGUCCAAGUGCCGAGCGGCCCAAGGCGAAGGGGGUGAUUGUCGACAGACGCUCGUGAACGGAUCCAGUUAAGUUGAAAUAGUGGAAUGGAAAGGACCUUUCUUCAACUAGCUGUUCCGUCGACUUGCCUCGGUGAAUAAUCAUACAAAUCAUCAAUACCGAGGCAUCAACCGAGAGGAAAUAAUACAAGAACCAGAAUAAUGAAGGAGAGGACAUAAGAGCGAAAACCAUAGCUUAAAGUACAGCUCACCGAUAGAAAACACGAGAAUACUUGCAAGAAUUGAACUACGACCGAAUAUGAACUACGAUCGAAUAUUAGACUACUGCUAUAACUCGAGGUG
RNAcentral lists this ribosomal RNA (3588 nucleotides) under Triticum aestivum (bread wheat). RNAcentral describes it as "partial small subunit ribosomal RNA". The record is from RNAcentral. Lineage: Eukaryota; Viridiplantae; Streptophyta; Magnoliopsida; Poales; Poaceae.